UACGUAGGUGGCAAGCGUUGUCCGGAUUUAUUGGGUUUAAAGGGUGCGUAGGCGGUCCUAUAAGUCAGUGCUGAAAUAUCCCGGCUUAACAGAUGGGCUGCGGAGGAUACUAUGGAGCUAGGAGGCGGGAGAGGCAAGCGGUACUUAGUGGGUAGGGGUAAAAUCCGUUGAUCCAUUGAAGACCACCAGUGGCGAAGGCGGCUUGCCAGAACGCACUCGACGGUGAGGGAUGAAAGCUGGGGGAGCAAACCGG
Molecule: ribosomal RNA, 253 nt
Filed under: uncultured bacterium
Lineage: Bacteria
Description: partial 16S ribosomal RNA
Rfam family: Bacterial small subunit ribosomal RNA
Source: RNAcentral